RNAcentral lists this ribosomal RNA (253 nucleotides) under uncultured bacterium. RNAcentral describes it as "partial 16S ribosomal RNA". It matches the Rfam family "Bacterial small subunit ribosomal RNA", at positions 524 to 776 of the family's 1533-position model. The record is from RNAcentral.
GACGAACCGUGCGAACGUUGUUCGGAAUCACUGGGCUUAAAGGGCGCGUAGGCGGGCCGGACGGUCCGGGGUGAAAUCCCCCCGCUCAACGGGGGAACGGCUCCGGAUACCGCCGGCCUCGAGGGGGGUAGGGGCGAGCGGAACGCUGGGUGGAGCGGUGAAAUGCGUUGAUAUCCAGCGGAACUCCGGUGGCGAAGGCGGCUCGCUGGGCCCUCUCUGACGCUGAGGCGCGAAAGCCAGGGGAGCGAAUGGG